CCGUGAGUGGCCUGAUGUGUCCCCUGGGACAUCAGGACUUAAUGCUGUAUGUUGUCCACGCGUGAAUGGUGGAGCCAGAGGUGACAACAUUUACGUGGGAAGCCAAGUCUCUGCAGCAGCUUCCAGCACUGACCAGGGCAUCCACACUUGUGUACAACCCGGUAGAAGCAUCAACCGUAUUUUUGAGGAUAACCAUGAGGAACCCAUUUCCCCAGGGAUAGAAAUCAGCAAAGAGAUUGGGCAAAAAAAAGACUCACUUGAAGGGCUGCCCCAGUCUCCACGUCAAGGUCAAAAGUCAAGGAGGAUUUAGUUACAAUACCCAGAAAGGCACCUACCUCCCAGGAGAAGGCUUCUGUAAUCAUGUGAGAAAGUAAGAGCAGAAAGAAACAAAUUUGUUUAAAUUAGAUGCUGAUACAAGCCCCACAGAGGCUCUCGCGAUUUGCCAUUUAAAACAGAAAGACAAAAAAAAAAAAAAAUUAAAAAAACAAAAACAAAAACAGAAAGAAGGAAGAGGGCGGGCUGUGCCGACUUCCUUCAAGACUCAGCAAGCUGGACUGAGGCAGAAAUCGCCCAUAAGGCCUUCUGGUCUCCGAUGUCGGGGAACACACGUGUGGGUCCUGACUCUCAGCCUUGUCUGACCCUCACUGCACGUGGAAAGCAGCCCGGCGUCUGCUGGUGCGCAGGUGCUGAGCAGGUCUCAGCCUCCGUGGACUCACUGGUAACACAGACAAGGCCUGUAAGAACCGGGCUUGUUCCAGCCCAAUCCUGGUGCCAACAGGAGCAUGGAGACUCCUCACGGGGCCACUCAGAACUCCCACUUGGUGAAGAAAACCUUCCCGAAUGUUCCACACGCCAGGAGAGGGGCCCUGCGGCUGCGUCUUCAUGUAUCAGGUUAGCUGGCAGCUCAUUUCCAGUCCUGGAUGGUAAAAGGAUUCACAAAUGGAAGCUUCGAUGGCAUUUGUAUUGA
RNAcentral lists this long non-coding RNA (967 nucleotides) under Sus scrofa (pig). RNAcentral's name for it is "lncRNA (ENSSSCG00055009221.1)". Lineage: Eukaryota; Metazoa; Chordata; Mammalia; Artiodactyla; Suidae. The record is from RNAcentral.